UACUUUGACCUGGAAUUGUUAACAUUAUAUACAUUGUUAAUUGAAUGUAGAGAUGUCUCAUCGGCACACAUACCACAUCUUCUCAUUUAUAUAAACAUGUUGAAGUCGAAUGUUAGUCAGAUUCUAUUAAAUAUUUAAGAACUUGCCACGUAAAGGUUAGAUAAAAAUCCAAACUGUUUAGUAUGAAUUAGUUGUCAGUCGAGAAAAAAUCAUUUAAUUGACGCUCAAUUCAGAAUGUGUGACAUAGAUCAGUGCAUUCUAUUACUAACAAUGCCGAUGUCCGUUUAUAAUUUAUAUUUACUUUUGUUAAGUUUUGAGCUAAUUGUCUUUGUAUGUUUUUAAAUAAGUAUCAGCGUUUGAAGGCCCAUUGGUGACUUUCGGCUGUUAAAUGUGCUUUGGUCGGGUUGUUGUAUCUUUGACAUAUUCUCAUUUCUAUUCUCUAUUCUUUUUUGAAUACUAUGAAGAUAUUUUAAGGCCUAGUGGAACAUGUUGGGUCUCGCAAGACGAUAUUGUCACUACUUCGCCGAAUAAUGUUUAAAAACGUAAACACUAAAAAAAUCCACUUAAAUACGCGCAUUAUAUCACUUUUACUGUCUGUUGAUAUUUGAAAUUACAUGUUCUAAAUGUUUAUGUAUUAUUAGGUUACCAUAUUUUGUUAUAUUUCAAAAUAGCUACAAAAAGUCAAGGUGGAAUUAUUUGGUAAGUGAUGCAUAGAUCAAGAUCUCGACCCAAGGACUAGAAGAUGUCAUGUCGAUUGGAAAACAACAAUAAAGGUCAUCAUAUGAACCGUUUGACAUUUUA
RNAcentral lists this long non-coding RNA (801 nucleotides) under Mytilus galloprovincialis (Mediterranean mussel). Lineage: Eukaryota; Metazoa; Mollusca; Bivalvia; Mytilida; Mytilidae. The record is from RNAcentral.